CAAUAGCGUAUAUUAAAGUUGUUGCAGUUAAAAAGCUCGUAGUCGGAUUUCUGGCUCGAAAAAGCGGUCCGUUCCGCCUAGCGGAAUGCGAACCAGCGUUUUUCAGCCAUCCUCGUGGAGAGCUGUUGGUGACAGCCGUCAUCUGCACGCGAUCCACGUCCUUUACUGUGAACAAAUUAGAGUGUUCAAAGCAGGCUUACGCCACUGAAUACAUUAGCAUGGAAUAAUCCUAUAGGACUUUGGUGAUUCUAUUGUUGGUUACGCACCAGAGUAAUGAUUAAUAGGGAUAGUUGGGGGUAUUCGUAUUCAAUUGUCAGAGGUGAAAUUCUUGGAUUUAUGGAAGACGAACAACUGCGAAAGCAUUUACCAAGGAUGUUUNCAUUGA
Molecule: ribosomal RNA, 385 nt
Filed under: uncultured eukaryote
Lineage: Eukaryota
Description: partial 18S ribosomal RNA
Rfam family: Eukaryotic small subunit ribosomal RNA
Source: RNAcentral